CUGGCGGCGUGCCUAACACAUGCAAGUCGAACGGGAAUCUUCGGAUUCUAGUGGCGGACGGGUGAGUAACGCGUAAGAAUCUAACUUCAGGACGGGGACAACAGUUGGAAACGACUGCUAAUACCCGAUGUGCCGCAAGGUGAAAACUAAUUGGCCUGAAGAAGAGCUUGCGUCUGAUUAGCUAGUUGGUGGGGUAAGAGCCUACCAAGGCGACGAUCAGUAGCUGGUCUGAGAGGAUGAGCAGCCACACUGGGACUGAGACACGGCCCAGACUCCUACGGGAGGCAGCAGUGGGGAAUUUUCCGCAAUGGGCGAAAGCCUGACGGAGCAACGCCGCGUGAGGGAGGAAGGUCUUUGGAUUGUAAACCUCUUUUCUCAAGGAAGAAGUUCUGACGGUACUUGAGGAAUCAGCCUCGGCUAACUCCGUGCCAGCAGCCGCGGUAAUACGGGGGAGGCAAGCGUUAUCCGGAAUUAUUGGGCGUAAAGCGUCCGCAGGUGGUCAGCCAAGUCUGCCGUCAAAUCAGGUUGCUUAACGACCUAAAGGCGGUGGAAACUGGCAGACUAGAGAGCAGUAGGGGUAGCAGGAAUUCCCAGUGUAGCGGUGAAAUGCGUAGAGAUUGGGAAGAACAUCGGUGGCGAAAGCGUGCUACUGGGCUGUAUCUGACACUCAGGGACGAAAGCUAGGGGAGCGAAAGGGAUUAGAUACCCCUGUAGUCCUAGCCGUAAACGAUGGAUACUAGGCGUGGCUUGUAUCGACCCGAGCCGUGCCGAAGCUAACGC
This 780-nucleotide ribosomal RNA is filed under the name uncultured cyanobacterium. RNAcentral's name for it is "bacterial SSU rRNA". It matches the Rfam family "Bacterial small subunit ribosomal RNA", at positions 36 to 858 of the family's 1533-position model. Lineage: Bacteria; Bacillati; Cyanobacteriota. The record is from RNAcentral.